AGAGAGAGAGAAUGGCAAAACGAAAAGUUGCAUAUCUUAUGGUUCAACAAAUUUUGAGCAUAAUAUGCUUGAUUUUAAUAACGAAUUUAGGGGCAAUGGCAAUGGAUCCUUUAAAUAUACCACAUUGUUUGGGACCUUGUUCAACAGUUGAAAACUGUUUCCAUGACUGUGUUGCCCAAGGUUUCCCCAAGGGAGGUACCUGCAUAGGAAUUACGCUAGCACAUAUGGAUUGUUGUUGCAAAUGGAGCUGAAAUCCACCCUUUUUUCUCAUUAAUGUCCCAUCUCCGUCUUCAUAACUUGUUCUUGAGAUUUUAUCAAUUAAUAAAGUGAUUUACUCCUUUUUUUCUCUA
Molecule: long non-coding RNA, 350 nt
Organism: Gossypium raimondii (Peruvian cotton)
Lineage: Eukaryota; Viridiplantae; Streptophyta; Magnoliopsida; Malvales; Malvaceae
Exons: 2
Source: RefSeq, a predicted model, not a curated record